UGAACGCUGGCGGUAGGCCUAACACAUGCAAGUCGAAUGGCAGCACAGUAAGAGCUUGCUCUUACGGGUGGCGAGUGGCGGACGGGUGAGGAAUACAUCGGAAUCUACUUUUUCGUGGGGGAUAACGUAGGGAAACUUACGCUAAUACCGCAUACGACCUACGGGUGAAAGCAGGGGAUCUUCGGACCUUGCGCGAUUGAAUGAGCCGAUGUCGGAUUAGCUAGUUGGCGGGGUAAGGCCCACCAAGGCGACGAUCCGUAGCUGGUCUGAGAGGAUGAUCAGCCACACUGGAACUGAGACACGGUCCAGACUCCUACGGGAGGCAGCAGUGGGGAAUAUUGGACAAUGGGCGCAAGCCUGAUCCAGCCAUACCGCGUGGGUGAAGAAGGCCUUCGGGUUGUAAAGCCCUUUUGUUGGGAAAGAAAAGCAGCAGGUUAAUACCCCGCUGUUCUGACGGUACCCAAAGAAUAAGCACCGGCUAACUUCGUG
Molecule: ribosomal RNA, 489 nt
Filed under: uncultured bacterium
Lineage: Bacteria
Description: partial 16S ribosomal RNA
Rfam family: Bacterial small subunit ribosomal RNA
Source: RNAcentral